GUCCACGCCCUAAACGAUGUCAACUAGUUGUCGGAGAAGCAAUUCUUUGGUAACGCAGCUAACGCGUGAAGUUGACCGCCUGGGGAGUACGGUCGCAAGAUUAAAACUCAAAGGAAUUGACGGGGACCCGCACAAGCGGUGGAUGAUGUGGAUUAAUUCGAUGCAACGCGAAAACCUUACCUACCCUUGACAUGUCCGGAAUCCCGCUGAAAGGUGGGAGUGCUCGAAAGAGAAUCGGAACACAGGUGCUGCAUGGCUGUCGU
RNAcentral lists this ribosomal RNA (263 nucleotides) under uncultured bacterium. Its description in RNAcentral is "partial 16S ribosomal RNA". It matches the Rfam family "Bacterial small subunit ribosomal RNA", at positions 793 to 1055 of the family's 1533-position model. The record is from RNAcentral.